GGGCCUGUUUGCGUGGGCACCGAAAUGGCGUAUUGUUUGACCUGAUGCUCCAUUAAAUUCGUUCUACACACUGAUUGUAAUGACGGUUCGACAUUAUCCAUUUAAUAGCUUGUAAAAUUACUGGUUAAUUAAUUUUCCAAUUGAAAAUACGUAAGACUGUCCAGUUUGCUCAUCUCACAAUCGCUGUAAACGAUGACAAAAUAUUUCGUCCUAUUUUUUGCAUUUUUCCUAGCCGAGUUUCAAACAAUUAUUAGCGAGUGUCCCGUUUGUGACGCAAAUGAUUACAAUCCGGUUUGUUCUUCAGGAAAGGCGUUCAAAAGCGAAUGCCAUCUUUUGUCACUGCAUUGUUCAAAACAUGUGGUUCUGACAAGCCCCCUCUUUGGAAAAUGUCUCCAGUUACAUAACCCGAAACCAAACGUCCCAAGCCUCCACUUUUGAGGCCAAUAAAUAAAUGAUUAAAGCUAACGUUUUAUUAAUUCCAAUUACAACAAAUAUAUUUUCAUGAUAAUUA
This is a long non-coding RNA of Tribolium castaneum (red flour beetle), 511 nucleotides long. RefSeq lists it as uncharacterized. The record is from RefSeq and is a predicted model, not a curated record. The transcript has 4 exons. Lineage: Eukaryota; Metazoa; Arthropoda; Insecta; Coleoptera; Tenebrionidae.